GUGAAAACAGAAGAGAAGCCACCUGAAUAUCAGUAUGCCUCAGAACCUCAGUAUGAAAGUCUUCCGUGCUUUGGUCUGUUUCAUCUUUCUUGCAGGACUGCAGGAUGCAGGAUACUCUGGUUUUGUUAAUGCAGAAACUCCCAUCUAUACAGAAAUGGAGGGUGGAAGCAUCACAGUUAAAUGCACAUUUUCUUUAACUGGAAGAAGGAGACUCUUCUGUACGGGAAAAUGUGAAGAAGGAAACAUUCUCAUUGACACAACUGAUGACUCAGCGCAGAAUGGCAGAUACAGCAUUAAAUAUAAAGAAGGAUUUUAUCCAUUACAUAAGACAGUUCUGAAUGUGAGCAUCACACAGCUGAGAAGAUCUGACUCUGGAAUGUACAGAUGCUCUUUGGACAGAAUUUUGCCAUUUGAUUCAAAUGAAGAAUUUGAGAUUGUUGUCACAGACGCUUCAGUGACCUCAAAACCAAAGUCUACUGUGCAACCUUCGCCAGUUUCAACAUUUCUCUCAUCAGCCCCCAUGACAACAGCAACAGUGACAACAUCACCAAAGACCCCAACAUCACAGAGUUUAAAUUCCAUUUCAGGAGGCACCACACCUUCACCAGCCUCCUCUUCAACCUCCAAACAGACACAGACACCUCUUCCAAAUUUAGUUACUGCAGGUACGCUGCCUGUGGUGGCUCUUAUUCUGAUCACUGUCUUACCAGUGGCUUUGCUGAUUUUCUGCAAGAAGAGGAGGGCCAGUAAACCUAAAGGGCCUCCUGUGGAAACAGAGCCCCCUGACAUUACAACGGCCAGUCAGUUGUAUGAAGAGAUCAGAGAGGAGGACAGAUUGAGCAAUUUACCUCCUGAAGGAGUAUUUUCAAUUUACACCACUGCCAAAUGCCCCCAAGGAAACAGAGUUGAAAGCACAGAUGACUACAGCCUUGUCAUCUGUCCUCAGAACAAAAGUGAAGAGAACUUGAGUAAGCUUGCUGCCACCAACAGCGCCCCCUGUGGCCAUGCAGAUGUUUUGUACUCCACGCCUCAUGUACAUUUCAGCACAGCCAACCACACCAAAGACGCCUCACCUCCUCUGUAUUCUACUGUUGGAAACCAUCAGUAGUAAUGUUAUUACAGGCUUAUUGCUAUGAUAGUUGUAGUUUGUUCAGACCAACUGGUAACACAAACGUUCUUCCAUUAAUCAUGCCAUUGUGAUUUUUAUUAGUCAGGGAAACAAGCAACUGCUGAAAUAAUGGAUUUCAUAGUGGAUCAACAGGCAUAACUGAUUUGUAGCAACCUGAUCAUAGUCCAUUGGAUAGUCCACCUUUGUAUUUAGCUGAGGAGUUUAUAGAAAGUUAGCCUGUAGUUGAUAACUACUUAAAAGUAGUUGGUACUAACUUCACACAACUUUGCACAUGAAGAAAAGUUCUGUUUUAGUGCAAAGGAAAAAAAAUACACGAACAAUAAUCAAUGAUCAAAGGUAAUAAAGUAGUUCACACAAUGAUGAUUGACUGAUGAUUCAAUGACUAAUGAUUAUCAAAUAAUAAGAAAAAUAGUAAAAUUAUAAAUAACAUUUCCAGUGAAGUUUAUAUUAAAGCCCGUUUUUUACAUAAUCUUUGAGAAUUUCUGUAUUUUGUUUGUUACGGAGUAUAGCAUGGUGGGAAAGGACGGAGAGAAACCCCCCCCCCCCCCCCCCCCUAAGUUUUGUUGGUUUUGUUUUUGAGUUUGUUUUGGAUUAAUUGCAUGUUUUUGUGUUUAUUUACGGUUGUUGCACCUGUGUGGGAGGGGAGAUUUUACUCUAGCCCAGCUGCCAGUGAGGCGGAGUUGAAUACAGGGAGCGGCUGAUUGGAGUUCCUCUUUAUAAAGGGGAGAGGAAGCAGGAAGUGUUUUUGUUGUUUUUAGUAGGACCUUGGUGAAGCAGGAGAGCCCCGGAGAUCCAGGACAAAGUGUGCGCAUUUUUAAUAGAAAGGAUCUUUUUUUAGCCUGGCCUGGUUUUUGCUUUUAACGGAACGGAGGACGUGGAAAGGAGGACGUAUUCCUAUGGAGCUGUGAGAGGACGUGCUGGAAAAGAGAGGACGUGCUGGAAAAGAGAGGACGUGCUGGAAAAAAAAGGGACGUGUUGGAAAAGAGGAAAACGAGCACUAGACUGGAGACCUCCUGCGCCCCGAUAAGAAGAACUGGACCAGCUCGGGGAAGUUUAACUGCCGGGAGGUAAUGUGGAGACCCAGCCUCGAACAAAGUUAAAGCCUGAAAAGGCGAAGAACUCGGACCGCGGUGGUCUUUGGGCUUUGGAUCCCUGGCCGGGGUCGUCUUCAGCCGGUAGUUUGCCUAGAGGGAGAACAAAUAAAUUUUGUGUAACC
Molecule: long non-coding RNA, 2345 nt
Organism: Astatotilapia calliptera (eastern happy)
Lineage: Eukaryota; Metazoa; Chordata; Actinopteri; Cichliformes; Cichlidae
Source: Ensembl